Phyllostomus discolor (pale spear-nosed bat) is the source of this 107-nucleotide small nuclear RNA. Lineage: Eukaryota; Metazoa; Chordata; Mammalia; Chiroptera; Phyllostomidae. The record is from RefSeq and is a predicted model, not a curated record.
GUGCUCACUUUGGCAGCACAUAUACUGAAACCGAAUCAAUACAUAGAAGAUUAGCAUGGCCACUGCCCAUGGCUGAAAUGCAAAUUCAUCUCAUAAAAAAAGGUGGC